Molecule: long non-coding RNA, 1104 nt
Filed under: Papio anubis (olive baboon)
Lineage: Eukaryota; Metazoa; Chordata; Mammalia; Primates; Cercopithecidae
Description: lncRNA (ENSPANG00000046224.1)
Source: RNAcentral
GCUAAAUAUCUAACUCUUUUGUCUUACAAUAAUUUUACAUGCCAUUUUCAUAGUUGGCCUGGAGAUUCUGUAGUAUUGGUGCUUGUUUUCUCUUUUGCUGCUGAAUACCAGGAAAAAGCCAAGAGUACCUUUGUUGCCCAGUUAUCUGAUAAAGUCCAGAUGCAUCUGGAAAGCAUUUGGAGUUCAUGGGCAAAUGAAGUAGGUCAUAAAAUAUGAAGAACUCAAGAGAAAAAAUAAACUACCAAGGUUGAAUUAUAAGGUAAGGUCUUAGCUCUUAUCUUUCUUAAUAAUGCCUCCUCUGCUUGCCAUGGCAACCACAUGUGCUGGCAGUUGUUAUGGCAAAGGGAGAGGACUGCAAACAGAAGAGAACUGUAGGAUUCUACAAUGCAAGAAGUUCCAUUUGCGACUGGUGCCUGACAUUUACAAGAUGGUGAUGACAGGGUGCAGCUUUUUGCUAGGGGACAAAGUUCUGCCCCAGCCCAGACUUAAGUGGUUCAUAUGGUGAUUGAUCCCCUGACCUUGGGCUCAUUAACUUUAUCCUCUCAUGAAUGGAAGGAACCAGCUAUAAGGAUCUCUUUGUGAGUACAGUUUUCUUUGUAUUUCUAGAAAUCAGAGCCACUACUACCCAACUUGUGUGUGUGUGUCUUCUGAAGUGUCUAUCCUUUGCUAGACAGUUUCCAGGUGUACAAAAAGUUCCCUGUUUUAAAUAAAGUCACAGCAUGAAAGAAAAAUGUGAAAAGCAUUGUAGUAGUUCUUGAUUGAUAAGAGCAGGUAAUAAAAGUGAGAACUAAGAUGCUUGGAAACUUUGAAGGAAGCAAAUGAUGUGAUUUCACAUCUAAUCCUGUGACAAAGCAUGGGGAUUACUCCAAUCCCGGGGCCUGGAAGAAGAUUCUAUUGUAAGAACUGAAGAUUUCCCUCUUGUUCACCAAGAUCAAAUUUAUCAGCUUCCUUAGUCUAGUUUGGAAACAUUAUCCUUCUAUUUUAGCUGAACCCUUAUGCAGUGCAAGGAAAUUGAGGUGGGCACAUUGAGAGUGGUGGUUUUUCUUGUUUUUACAAAAACACAAGAUUCUCUUUAACAAAUGUUUGGGGAACACCUACUCUGCC